GGGGUGAUGGUCCAACGGGAAGACACCGCCAUGGCAUGGCGGAAAUCCGAGUUCAAUUCUCGGCCACUCCACUA
Molecule: transfer RNA, 74 nt
Filed under: Planctomycetaceae bacterium
Lineage: Bacteria; Pseudomonadati; Planctomycetota; Planctomycetia; Planctomycetales; Planctomycetaceae
Also listed under: 1 other name
Description: tRNA-Ala
Rfam family: tRNA
About the family: Transfer RNA (tRNA) molecules are approximately 80 nucleotides in length. Their secondary structure includes four short double-helical elements and three loops (D, anti-codon, and T loops). Further hydrogen bonds mediate the characteristic L-shaped molecular structure. tRNAs have two regions of fundamental functional importance: the anti-codon, which is responsible for specific mRNA codon recognition, and the 3' end, to which the tRNAs corresponding amino acid is attached (by aminoacyl-tRNA synthetases). tRNAs cope with the degeneracy of the genetic code in two manners: having more than one tRNA (with a specific anti-codon) for a particular amino acid; and 'wobble' base-pairing, i.e. permitting non-standard base-pairing at the 3rd anti-codon position.
Source: RNAcentral